UGGUAGUCCUAGCUGUAAACGAUGAGCACUAGGUGUUGGUCCGCGAGGAUCAGUGCCGCAGCUAACGCAUUAAGUGCUCCACCUGGGGACUACGGCCGCAAGGCUAAAACUCAAAGGAAUUGACGGGGACCCGCACAAGCGGUGGAACAUGUGGUUUAAUUCGAUGCUACGCGAAAAACCUCACCAGGACUUGACAUGUAGGUAGUAGUGAACUGAAAGGGGAACGACCCGUUAAGUCCGGGAACCUACACAGGUGCUGCAUGGCUGUCGUCAGCUCGUGUCGUGAGAUGUUGGGUUAAGUCCCGCAACGAGCGCAACCAUUGCCCCAUGUUGCUACCUCCGCAAUCUGCUUGCAGAUUUCGGAGCGCACUCUUGGGGGACUGCCUGGGAUAACCAGGAGGAAGGCGGAGAUGACGUCAAGUCAGUACGGCCUUUAUGUCCUGGGCUACACACGUGUUACAAUGGUCGGUACAAAGGGUUGCCAACCCGUAAGGGGGAGCUAAUCUCAAAAAACUGACCUCAGUUCGGAUUGAAGUCUGCAAUUCGACUUCAUGAAGCCGGAAUCGCUAGUAAUGGUAGAUCAGCACGCUACCGUGAAUACGUUCCCGGGUCUUGUACACACCGCCCGUCAAGCGAUGGAAGUUGGGGGUACCAGAAGUCCUAUGUAGAUAGGCCGAAGGUAAAACCAAUGACUGGCGCUAAGUCGUAACAAGGUAGCCGUA
RNAcentral lists this ribosomal RNA (722 nucleotides) under uncultured organism. RNAcentral's name for it is "bacterial SSU rRNA". It matches the Rfam family "Bacterial small subunit ribosomal RNA", at positions 788 to 1504 of the family's 1533-position model. The record is from RNAcentral.